CUAACAUGUAUGCGAGUAAACUGAGUUUUAAAACUCAUCAUGCAAAAAUGAAAGUAAAAUUAUGGUAGGAAUAGCUUCAUAAGGGGUUAUGCACUAUCAACCGACUUGGAUGGGGGCAACUCCUGAAAGGAUUGAGUAAGAGCAUUUAUGUUAGGACCCGAAAGAUGGUGAACUAUGCCUGAGUAGGGCAAAAGUCAGAGGAAACUCUGAUGGAGGCUCGAAGGGGUUCUGACGUGCAAAUCGAUCUUCAAACUUGGGGUAGGGGCGAAAGACUAAUCGAACCAUCUAGUAGCUGGUUCCCCUCCGAAGUUUCCCCUCAGGAUAGCUGGAACUUAAGAAGAAAUAGUUUUAUCAGGUAAAGCGAAUGAUUAGAGGCUUUUGGGGGGAAGAAAACUUUCCCUCGGACCCUAAUUCCUCAAACUUUAAAUAGGUAAGAUUUGAAGGAUACUUAGGUGAUCUUUCAAUCUCUUGAAUAUAAAGUUCUUAGUGGGCCAUUUUUGGUAAGCAGAACUGGCGAUGUGGGACUGAACCG
Molecule: ribosomal RNA, 532 nt
Filed under: uncultured eukaryote
Lineage: Eukaryota
Description: eukaryotic LSU rRNA
Rfam family: Eukaryotic large subunit ribosomal RNA
Source: RNAcentral